GGGGAGAUGCUGGAGUGGUUGAACAGGCAUACCUGGAAAGUAUGUGAACGGUCAAAAGUCGUUCCGAGGGUUCGAAUCCCUCUCUCCCCG
RNAcentral lists this transfer RNA (90 nucleotides) under Cyanobacteria bacterium UBA8530. RNAcentral's name for it is "tRNA-Ser". It matches the Rfam family "tRNA". Rfam says of the family: Transfer RNA (tRNA) molecules are approximately 80 nucleotides in length. Their secondary structure includes four short double-helical elements and three loops (D, anti-codon, and T loops). Lineage: Bacteria; Bacillati; Cyanobacteriota. RNAcentral also lists the same sequence under 2 other names. The record is from RNAcentral.